This 588-nucleotide ribosomal RNA is filed under the name uncultured bacterium. RNAcentral describes it as "partial 16S ribosomal RNA". It matches the Rfam family "Bacterial small subunit ribosomal RNA", at positions 355 to 1376 of the family's 1533-position model. The record is from RNAcentral.
UGGGGAAUAUUGGACAAUGGGCGCAAGCCUGAUCCAGCAAUGCCGCGUGUGUGAAGAAGGCCUUCGGGUUGUAAAGCACUUUUAUCAGGAGCGAAACGCUGUCGGCUAAUACCCGGCGGAACUGACGGUACCUGAGGAAUAAGCACCGGCUAACUUCGUGCCAGCAGCCGCGGUAAUACGAAGGGUGCAAGCGUUAAUCGGAAUUACUGGGCGUAAAGCGUGCGUAGGCGGUUUCUUAAGUCUGCUGUGAAAUCCCCGGGCUCAACCUGGGAAUGGCAGUGGAUACUGGGAGGCUAGAGUGUGUCAGAGGGUGGUGGAAUUCCCGGUGUAGCGGUGAAAUGCGUAGAGAUCGGGAGGAACAUCAGUGGCGAAGGCGGCCACCUGGGACAACACUGACGCUGAGGCGCGAAAGCGUGGGGAGCAAACAGGAUUAGGUACCCUGGUAGUCCACGCCCUAAACGAUGCGAACUGGAUGUUGGUCUCAACUCGGAGAUCAGUGUCGAAGCUAACGCGUUAAGUUCGCCGCCUGGGGAGUACGGUCGCAAGACUGAAACUUAAAGGAAUUGACGGGGUCAUAGCUGUUUCCUG